This 707-nucleotide long non-coding RNA is filed under the name Numida meleagris (helmeted guineafowl). RNAcentral's name for it is "lncRNA (ENSNMEG00000000556.1)". The record is from RNAcentral. Lineage: Eukaryota; Metazoa; Chordata; Aves; Galliformes; Numididae.
AUGUUAGCUCCUGUGCUUUCCAGGACCACCUCCCUAACCAAAACCAUCACCAAGCACUGAGCACACACCUCAUUAUAACUGCUGGCUGAGCCCUGCUACACUGACUGUAAAGUCCCUAGGCUUCCUUGUCAGCAAGGUUUUCUGCUACCACCGGAGCAGAUGUCCACACUGCUCAGCAAUGGAUGCACCUUAGCACUCUGUAAUCUUUUGAGAUCAGAUGGAAAUGAUAAAAUACCCAGAAAGUUCCCCAUCUCAGAAGGCAAAUGCUAAUAAGGGAAAGAAGAUCAGCUCUGGUAAAACCUCCAGAGAAAAAUGGGGAAGGUAUGAAUAAUGAAAAAAUAAGGAGCAUGACUGCAGUACAAGCACACUGUGAGCAGGAAGAAGAGCUGUGUCAUGGCAUAACAAAGAAGGUUUUUCCCACUAAUGCUUAAAAUGCAAGUAAACACUGCUGUAUGAAGAACCCAAAAUCUUUUGAGAUAGACUAGACAGAGAAGCAGAACCCAAACUCCCAUGUUCCUGUGAUAAUUUGAGUUGAAAAAAUCCUCAGGGACUGUGACCAAAAGUAAUCAUGAAAUGGGAAACAGGCCACUUGGAAACUCGUUUUGCAAACAAAUCUCAGUCUCACAAGACCAGUUCUUCAGCUCCUGACGCCUCUGCAGAUGCAAACAUUUAUUCUCUGGUUCUUCAGAAAAUAAAUAAUCUUAAAG